GGCAUUGCGUUGGCAGCCAUAUUGGACUUUCUAUCCAUCCCUGGAACCAGGACCACAUUCCUCACCAGCGCGGCAGUAUCCUACUCGAAGUCUAUGAGACCAGGCUGGCUGUUGGGGUGGGGCAGCAUGCAUCACGUGUCUACAGGACCCUGUGGGCUGAACCCUUACUCAAUGCUGUUGAAGCCCUAUGUUCCUAGGAGCUAAAAGAAAAGUAAGUCAUGUGUCACCACCAACCAAUAUAUGACUUUACAAAUCUCAAUCUUAUUGAAAUUACAGCUUGAAUACUCAAUGUCUUUUUUUCCUUAAUGGCCCCCAUACACACUCAGAUUGUAAAACUGAUGAACAAAGCAUUUGACACAACGGUUGUGUAAAUAUUUUGUGCCAAACAACUGUUGUGUUAAAUGCAUUUUACAACCUGGGCGUGUGUGUGGGAAAUGUGUUUGUUUUUCAGGUUGAAGUUUCCCUCCAUCCAGCCCUACUCAAGAGUAAAAGCGAGGAGAAUGAUAUCAAAUCUGGGGCUGGAGAAACGUUAGCGGUUUAGACCGUCGGGCCAGUAACUGAAAGGUUCUUGGUUUGAAUCCCCAAGCCCACUAGGUGAAAAAUCUGUCCUUGAGCCCUUGAGCAAGGCACUUAACCCUAAUUUCUCCUGUAAGUCACUCUAGAUAAGUGUCUGCUAAAUUACUAAAAUGUAAAAUGUCAAGUGUGUGUGUAUUUACAAGCGUAUUAUUCCAAUAUGAUCCUUUGAACAAAUCUGAAGUCUGAUGUAUCUUCUACAUAAAAAAAUGUAUUUCAUCAAUAGGACCAUGGAAAGGGUGGGUCCCCAUAAACCAUGUUAUAAACUGAUUGACCUCAUAAACCAUAAAUACAAGUAUGUGUGUGUGUGUGUGAACAGUUCAAAUACUGUAUGAAAAAAUACCUGAUUAAAUAAAACCAAUUUUACGAAA
Molecule: long non-coding RNA, 944 nt
Organism: Salvelinus fontinalis (brook trout)
Lineage: Eukaryota; Metazoa; Chordata; Actinopteri; Salmoniformes; Salmonidae
Exons: 2
Source: RefSeq, a predicted model, not a curated record